Long non-coding RNA from Sinocyclocheilus anshuiensis, 1264 nucleotides. RefSeq lists it as uncharacterized. Lineage: Eukaryota; Metazoa; Chordata; Actinopteri; Cypriniformes; Cyprinidae. The record is from RefSeq and is a predicted model, not a curated record. The transcript has 2 exons.
CAUUGUGAACAAAGCCAAAAUGCCUUGGAGUCUCUAAUAUUAGAGGUCCCAGUUUUGAUUAUUUGUAUAGUAAUGCUACGGUGCACACUGGUUAACACUUCCCAUCUAACCCAUAGUGAGGUGUGCUAAGAACCCUCAGCUAUACUUUGCCCGGAAGCUGAAUGCCGCUAUGAAAGGUGCCGGAACUGACGAAGACACUCUCAUCCGCACCAUUGUGUGUCGCUCAGAGAUCGAUCUGGAGACCAUUAAAGACAUGUACCUGGAGAAAUAUGAUGUGUCUCUAAAAGACGCCAUCAGCUCGGAAUGCGGCGGAGAUUUCAAGCGCCUCCUGCUGGCCAUCCUUCACUAAAAGAAACACAAUCCGAGUGCUUACCAUGGACCAAGGAGGUUUUCACUACAGUCACAAUCAAGGCAAACUAACAUGACUCAUUUUGUGUCCUGUUGUCUAUAAAUAUGUUUUAUAAAGCUUAGUUUAAAGUGGAGAAUUAGUAACACAGGCUUCAAGUACAAUAUGUUUAAUAUGAAUGUUUUAUUACACUGUGCAAAUAUGUAUUUCGUAGAUGCAUAACACCACUCAAAAGUCAUUUGUGUCCAGUUUCUGUGACAUUCCUUAUUCUUGAGGCAUAAUUGGCCAGUUGAAUUUGUUUAAGUGGAGUCUUGUGGUUUCCAGGAGUAUAAGAUAACAUUGUUACAUUAUGAUGAUUAGAAGUUGAGAAGUUCAUACGUAAAUAAUACAAAGCCAGCAUUUACAUUUUCUGUUGAGUAUUUUUCCACACUAAAACCUCACAGUUUUAUCAUUUCAAAAUGUGCAUGACAAUGUGAAGUCUGAAUAUUUAUGUGAAUGACUUCGUGAAGCAUAAAUGCUCAAAUUACAAUGUAACAUUUACGGUCUGCGAAACAAUUGCCUAUUUAUGAGACUUCAUUAAUUUGUCCACUUGUGGUAAAAUAUCUGGAUUAUUGAAGCAACAGUUUUUACUCACCCAGUUAAUAUACUGUAUGUUGUUGUAACGAACACAAUACUAAAGUAUUUCUAUUAUUAACAUGGAGUAAUUUUAAUGUAACUUACAGUAUAUUUUAAUAUAUCUGUAACACAAGAAUACAGGCAGAGUUCUGCUGUCCUCCCAAAAAAUUUCUUUUAUCAGAUUAAUAUGAAGAACUUUCACUAUGCUGUGUAGGCCCAUGUGUCAGUUGCAUGGUAUAAAUGAGUUGCAGGACUUACUAUUAGAAAAAUGACUAUUAAAGUUUGAAUAAACAUGAGAUGGAA